Molecule: unclassified non-coding RNA, 177 nt
Filed under: uncultured Ascomycota
Lineage: Eukaryota; Fungi; Ascomycota
Description: sequence contains ITS2
Source: RNAcentral
CACCUUCAAGUGGCUACUCUUUUGUUACUAAGAGUGUAGUCCUUGGUUCUGGAGGCUUUGGGUUACUAUAUAUUACCCUCCUCUGUAAUAUAGUCAUGUUUGAUAGAUUGCUAUGAUGAAGCGACAUUUGUAAUUUCAUCUUAACAUCUUAGAACUAUGCUUUAUUAUAACUUCUAG